This 474-nucleotide long non-coding RNA is filed under the name Mus spicilegus (steppe mouse). RNAcentral's name for it is "lncRNA (ENSMSIG00000007000.1)". Lineage: Eukaryota; Metazoa; Chordata; Mammalia; Rodentia; Muridae. The record is from RNAcentral.
AUUGUUCUGGAUACUGUCAUACUGCUGGUUUAUGACUGUGGCAACAAAGAAAACAUUGAAAAAUCAUGUCCUGGCACUGGGUAGAUACUAAGAACACAUGGAGCUCCUUGAAAUUACAGGUUCUGAAAACCUCCUCAACCAUCGUCUUAAGGAGAGCACAGGGAUCUACUAUUGAAAAUAACAGUAGCUCACUGAAAGAUCAUUUCUGCUGGAGUCCUUCUACCCCAGAUGUUGCUUACACUAUCAACUGGAAUUCAAACACAGGAGUAGACCUAUGUACUCAUUAGCCAGGAAAGUCUGGCCAAAAAUGUAUAGUAGCAUUACCAAGAAGAUAAAGAUGCUUUACUCUCAACUAAUCCUUUGAUGUUUGCUAAAGAAAUGAGAAACCUUCAGCAGUGAGAAACUCUAGUGUAAACAUAUUUCAGAUGAAUGUCACCUACUUUGUCAUUCUAGAUGAAGUAUUUAAAAGCGGGU